This 211-nucleotide long non-coding RNA is filed under the name Elaeis guineensis (African oil palm). Its description in RNAcentral is "long non-coding RNA (EGUI_LNC009634)". The record is from RNAcentral. Lineage: Eukaryota; Viridiplantae; Streptophyta; Magnoliopsida; Arecales; Arecaceae.
UCCCCCAAUUGAUUCAUUUAUUCUGAUUUAAAUAUUAUUGUUUAUCAUUCAUUUGAUUUGCCUUUGAUUCCUAACCUAUACGAGCCAAUUUUUUUUUUUGGAUCAUAACUUCUGGAACUGUUUUAUAUAUUGAGGAGUGGACUCUUGGAUCUAAGAAGUUGACUCAUGAAUUCUAGAGUGAACUCUUAGUUUUACUAGAGUUGACCCCUCU